This is a non-coding RNA of Glossina fuscipes fuscipes, 146 nucleotides long. The record is from Rfam. NCBI's taxonomy places the organism in Eukaryota, Metazoa, Arthropoda, Insecta, Diptera, Glossinidae.
AGAGUGGCUUAGUCGAAGAUCAUUGCAAAAUGAUUUAUUACAUGCAAAUGGUUCAAAACUAAGCCUAAAGUAAGACUGUAACGACGGUCACUGCAUUAUAUAAUAACAAAAUGGUAUUGCGGUAAUUUUUACGUGCAAUUAUAGUU